GGAUUCCCCUAGUAACUGCGAGUGAAGCGGGAAAAGCUCAAAUUUAAAAUCGGGCAGUUCUUGCAGCUGUCCGAGUUGUAAUUUAGAGAAGUGCUAUCCGUGCUGGACCGUGUACAAGUCUCCUGGAACGGAGCGUCAUAGAGGGUGAGAAUCCCGUACAUGACACGGACUACCAGUGCAUUUGUGAUGCGCUCUCAAAGAGUCGAGUUGUUUGGGAAUGCAGCUCAAAAUGGGUGGUAAAUUCCAUCUAAAGCUAAAUACAGGCGAGAGACCGAUAGCGAACAAGUACCGUGAGGGAAAGAUGAAAAGAACUUUGGAAAGAGAGUUAAACAGUACGUGAAAUUGUUGAAAGGGAAACGCUUAAAGUCAGUCGCGUUGUUCAGGAAUCAGCCUUUGCCCCUUGGCUUGGUGUACUUUCUGUUCAACGGGUCAGCAUCAGCUUUGACCACUGGAAAAAGUUCAUGGGAAUGUGGCAUCUUCGGAUGUGUUAUAGCCCACGUCCGUAUACAGUGGUUGGGACUGAGGACUCAGCACUUUGAUGUGCUUGGGAUGCUGGCAUAAUGGCUUUAAGCGACCCGUCUUGAAACACGGACCAAGGAGUCUAACAUGCCUGCGAGUGUUUGGGUGGAAAACCCGAGCGCGCAAUGAAAGUGAAAAGUUGGGAUCUCUGUCGUGGAGAGCACUGACGCCCGGACCUGAAGUAUUCGGACGGUUCUGCGGUAGAGCAUGUAUGUUGGGACCCGAAAGAUGGUGAACUAUGCCUGAAUAGGGCGAAGCCAGAGGAAACUCUGGUGGAGGCUCGUAGCGAUUCUGACGUGCAAAUCGAUCGUCGAAUUUGGGUAUAGGGG
RNAcentral lists this ribosomal RNA (848 nucleotides) under Pterula sp. RNAcentral's name for it is "partial large subunit ribosomal RNA". It matches the Rfam family "Eukaryotic large subunit ribosomal RNA", at positions 72 to 923 of the family's 3401-position model. Lineage: Eukaryota; Fungi; Basidiomycota; Agaricomycetes; Agaricales; Pterulaceae. The record is from RNAcentral.